UACGUAGGGGUCGAGCGUUGUCCGGAGUUACUGGGCGUAAAGCGUGUGCAGGCGGCUCAUUGCGCCCGGCGUGAAAGCCCCCGGCUCAACCGGGGAGAGUCGUCGGGGACGGGUGAGCUUGAGGGUAUCAGGGGCUGGUGGAAUUCCCGGUGUAGUGGUGAAAUGCGUAGAUAUCAGGAGGAACACCGAUGGCGAAGGCAGGUCUCUGGGCCACUACUGACGCUGAGAAGCGAAAGCAUGGGGAGCGAACAGG
This 253-nucleotide ribosomal RNA is filed under the name uncultured bacterium. Its description in RNAcentral is "partial 16S ribosomal RNA". It matches the Rfam family "Bacterial small subunit ribosomal RNA", at positions 524 to 776 of the family's 1533-position model. The record is from RNAcentral.